This is a long non-coding RNA of Terrapene triunguis (Three-toed box turtle), 1010 nucleotides long. RefSeq lists it as uncharacterized. Lineage: Eukaryota; Metazoa; Chordata; Testudines; Emydidae. The record is from RefSeq and is a predicted model, not a curated record. The transcript has 3 exons.
AUAGUGAUAAUCAGGAUGGCCCAUUUCAAAUAGUUGACAAGAAGGUGUGAGUAACAGUAGGGGGGAAAUUCCUCUGCUCUGGUGCAAGUGUGCCUGGGAUCCCUUGUUCAUCUCUUGGGGGUUCUGUGAUUCCAAAGGGACAGGAUCAUGGCUUGAGGGGUCCCCUUUAGAAAGAGGGAGCUGUAUCCAGGAUCUGGAGAUUUUGAUCUGUGGCUCUUUUAUCAUUGCAAGGACAAUAAUGACACUAGGACUUGUUCUAUUCAGCUAACAUUCUCCGGGCGGAUCCUUGGAGGGAUCCUGAGCCCUUCAUCCUCUGCGAGGAACUCCCAGAGCACUCACUGCAGCCUGUAGUGAGGUUGGAGAGGGAAAGACUUGGGAUUGUUGCACUGGGCGGGGUGUCCCCGACCCUACCCUUCUCCCAGUGUAAUGUAACAUUUUAGCUGUGAUAGAGGAAAGGGCACAUUCAUUCCAGGCAGGGCCUUCAAAGGGCAUGUCUGACCGGCUGCCCGCGAUCUCCUGCACCAGCACUACCUGUUUCUCCCAGCAGCCUCUGGUGCUGGCUGAAGAAGCUGCACGUUUGUUUCCUAAGGAGAAGCUGAUGCUCUUUUCUAAUACGCUGUCUCUUCCUGCUGCAGCUCACGCUCUUGCUAACCCUGGAGGACAAGCUGCACCGACAGUUAAGCUACGACCUGCUGCCAACUGACAGUUCCAAGGGCUUGGCCUCAGAGCUGGUGCACUACGGAUUCAUCCAUGAGGAUGACUGUGAAAUGCUGGCCAACUUCCUAGAAAAUGCUUUUCACAAGCACCGGUCUCCUCCCUUGUGAGUCACCCCGAUGAGUUCUGGGCAGAGAGGUGCCCCCCAAAGGAGGAUGGGAACUGUCCCAGGCCAGAAGGAACUGUGGGGCUCUUGAUCAGGCUUUCCGCUGCAGAGGUGACCUUGCCAUUUGUUCCUGGCUGUAUCUCUACUGUCCAUCCAGCCUGUGAUUCAGAAAGAAAAUGGCAAGAAGAGA